Coturnix japonica (Japanese quail) is the source of this 134-nucleotide non-coding RNA. NCBI's taxonomy places the organism in Eukaryota, Metazoa, Chordata, Aves, Galliformes, Phasianidae. The record is from RefSeq and is a predicted model, not a curated record.
GCAGGUAAUGCUGUUAUCCAACAAAAGGCUGAAUCCUACAAGGGCUUGAGAGUGGUGUUACCAUUAAGUGUUGGUCGGUGUUCUUCCUGCAGGCACAGGAGCACAUUCCCACCUCAGCCACACUUCUUCUCCAG